ACGGGUGAGUAACACGUAAGGAACCUGCCUCAAGGAUUGGGAUAACUCCGAGAAAUCGGAGCUAAUACCGGAUAGUUCAACGGACCGCAUGGUCCGCUGAUGAAAGGCGCUUCGGCGUCACCUUGAGAUGGCCUUGCGGUGCAUUAGCUAGUUGGUGGGGUAACGGCCCACCAAGGCGACGAUGCAUAGCCGACCUGAGAGGGUGAUCGGCCACACUGGGACUGAGACACGGCCCAGACUCCUACGGGAGGCAGCAGUAGGGAAUCUUCCACAAUGGACGAAAGUCUGAUGGAGCAACGCCGCGUGAGUGAUGAAGGUUUUCGGAUCGUAAAACUCUGUUGUAAGGGAAGAACACGUACGAGAGGAAAUGCUCGUACCUUGACGGUACCUUACGAGAAAGCCACGGCUAACUACGUGCCAGCAGCCGCGGUAAUACGUAGGUGGCAAGCGUUGUCCGGAAUUAUUGGGCGUAAAGCGCGCGCAGGCGGCCUUUUAAGUCUGAUGUGAAAGCCCCCGGCUCAACCGGGGAGGGCCAUUGGAAACUGGAAGGCUUGAGUACAGAAGAGA
This 567-nucleotide ribosomal RNA is filed under the name uncultured bacterium. Its description in RNAcentral is "bacterial SSU rRNA". It matches the Rfam family "Bacterial small subunit ribosomal RNA", at positions 102 to 657 of the family's 1533-position model. The record is from RNAcentral.